UACAGAGGUGGCAAGCGUUGUUCGGAAUUACUGGGCGUCAAGGGCGCGUAGGCGGCCUUCUAAGUCGAACGUGAAAUCCCCAGGCUUAACCUGGGAACUGCAUCCGAUACUGGAUGGCUUGAAUCCGGGAGAGGGAUGCAGAAUUCCAGGUGUAGCGGUGAAAUGCGUAGAUAUCUGGAGGAAUACCGGUGGCGAAGGCGGCAUCCUGGACCAACACUGACGCUGAGGCGCGAAAGCUAGGGGAGCAAACGGG
Molecule: ribosomal RNA, 253 nt
Filed under: uncultured bacterium
Lineage: Bacteria
Description: partial 16S ribosomal RNA
Rfam family: Bacterial small subunit ribosomal RNA
Source: RNAcentral